RNAcentral lists this transfer RNA (76 nucleotides) under Candidatus Roizmanbacteria bacterium RIFCSPHIGHO2_01_FULL_38_41. RNAcentral's name for it is "tRNA-Glu". It matches the Rfam family "tRNA". From Rfam's summary of the family: Transfer RNA (tRNA) molecules are approximately 80 nucleotides in length. Their secondary structure includes four short double-helical elements and three loops (D, anti-codon, and T loops). Lineage: Bacteria; Candidatus Roizmaniibacteriota. RNAcentral also lists the same sequence under 5 other names. The record is from RNAcentral.
GGCCCCGUCGUCUAGCGGUUAGGACGCCACCCUUUCAAGGUGGAGAUCACGGGUUCGAAUCCCGUCGGGGUCACCA